Molecule: ribosomal RNA, 56 nt
Filed under: Nuphar lutea
Lineage: Eukaryota; Viridiplantae; Streptophyta; Magnoliopsida; Nymphaeales; Nymphaeaceae
Description: partial 18S ribosomal RNA
Source: RNAcentral
GCCCGAUGUUUUGGUKAUUCAUGAUAACUCGACGGAUCGCACGGCCUUCGUGCCGG